AUGGCACGGGGGCGACCCAAGGGCAGCUCACCGGCGCCAUCGCCGUUGGCCGGAAGUUCAAUUGUUGCUGCCUCUUCCAUCCCGGCGCCUAGGCGAGUCCCAACUGUCCAGACCUCAUUCACCUCGAUUACGUUGCAGUCGCUGGCGGGUGAAUGGAACCCCGAGGUUAGAGACGUGUUUGGGGAAGUAGGUUUGGGAGAGUUGUGUAAGAUUAGGGUUCUAGGAAACACAAGCCGAAUCUUUUCCAUGUCUUUGAUCUCCAAGAUAGACCCAGAUACUAUGAAGAUGGACAUGGGUGAUGGAACAUUUGUAGAUAUCAAUGCCAGGGCUGUUGCUAGAGCAAUUGGUCUUCCUAGCGGUGGUAGGAAAAUAGACAUUCAGGUGGGGCGUUGCCUUGCAGACCGCGAGCGCCUUCUUGGUAAGGUGCACGCCUUACUAGGCACUGGCAUGCCGAGGUCAAACAAUAUUCCAGUUCAUCGUGUUAAAAAGAUAGUUCAGGGAGCUAACAAGGUAGCCAUUGAGGGUGAAGAGAGCAAAACCAUGAAGGCCGCCGUCGCGCUAGUAGCCAGCUCCACUUUUCUUGUGCCGAGGGGCGCUUCGGAGUCUUGGAGCCUAGUGGAAGAUCCCGGUGGGCGCAGCGUUCGCGAGGCUUCUUCGUUUUCGUUGAUCCGCCGUUGUCGGCAUUUGUUUCUUUUGCUCUUUCUCUGUCGUUUCUUUUGGGCGUGA
RNAcentral lists this ribosomal RNA (726 nucleotides) under Triticum aestivum (bread wheat). RNAcentral describes it as "partial small subunit ribosomal RNA". Lineage: Eukaryota; Viridiplantae; Streptophyta; Magnoliopsida; Poales; Poaceae. The record is from RNAcentral.